GUACUUAGCGAUAUUCAUUCUUUCCUUCCAAAUAAAAAAAAAUUAGUCUAAGUUUUUUAUCCUGUUUAAAAAGUUAGAAACUCCAAAACCUCAUUAGAAAAACCAUUCUUAAAGAUGAAAACAAAUCCUCUAUGAUUGCACUUGACUCUUAAUCUAUCAUAUAAGAAAAGUCUACCAUUUAGACAAUUCUUAGGCUAUCCACAUCAGCUUCUGUUCCCUCGAUAAUCCACAUCAGCUUUCUCCAAAUUAUGCUCUUCUUCCACUAUAAUUCGACAGUUACAUCCUUUGUUAUUCAAUUUCCACUCUCUUCCGUUACAUCCUUUGUUAUUCAAUUUCCACUCUCUUCAUAACUGCCCUUAAAUCCAUUCUCUUCCAAAUUUCAAAACCGUUCCGAAAAAUUGUUAGUGCAACCCCAUUCUUCUUCUUCUUUCACGAUCCAUUUUCACCAAAUUACUUUUCAAUUUCUCUUUACAAUGGCUUAGUAUCAAAACAACAUAUUCAAACUUUAAUUGCAGUAAUGACAAAACUUACCACACAAAUGGAGAGCUGUAUGCGCGAAUCGGAGGGAUUCCGAUUGAAGAUUUUCGUUGGGCUGUAUGUACGUGACGUUAGUUUUGGGUGGAUCGCGGCCGUAGCCGCUGAUGAUGGUGGUGGUCUAUGUGGGUUAUCACUGUUUGAAGCGGCGUGUUGUGGAGGUUACGCCCGGUGUUUCAGUAGAACUCAUUGUAUAUAUGAUAAUUUUUUAUAUUUUCUUUAUUCUCUUUAUUCCAUUAUAUUUGUAUUUUUGAUUUGGUAUGUAUUGACUCUUCCACUUCAACGGGCUAUCCUACCUCCUGUAUUAAUUUUUACAAAUAAGCAUCUGAUACUAAUUCCUUCCCAUACAUGAUCAAUUGUCAGGUUUUGCAGUUGCUGAGUGACCCAAAUCUUGCUGGUAGGGAAACUGCUAUUUUGUGCAUUGAGGGGUCCCCAAGUUGAAUCAAUCAGAGUUGGAGACAACAUGUGAAGAUUUCAGCAAUAUCAUUAAUAAUUUUGAGAAGUGCACCAUAUGUAAAGGAACAAUGUCCAAUGGAGUCAAGAUUUCUAUUGAUUAUACUAUUGUUACUUCUACCGAGAAUUGGUCAAAGAACAUGGAGAUAGCCUGCAGAAGAAAGAUUUUCUUCCUUAUGUCAAUGGAAAUGGAAACACUGAGAGUUUCAAUUCAAUUGAUAGAUAGACUUUCAUGUUUCAAACUUAAUUGUUUAGCUAACUUAUUUCCUUACAUACAUGCUUUCAGAUUGUUGCUCUAUCCUGUGUUAGCCAUAAGAACUUUGCCAAUCUUAUUCGUUAUUAUGAAGAAGACAGACCAUUCACAAGGACGGUGGUGUUUGAGUAUACUCCGAACGAAAGCUUAUAUGAGCAUCUACUUGCAACCGGAAAACUCGGGAAAGCAUUUCGAGUAAACCUUUCAGCAGGAGCUGGUCUUUCUGUGGACUGUGGAUAUUUAGUAGAUCCUUCUAUUCUUGUGCAGACCAUAUUCUUACACUGGAUGGCAGUAUAUUGCAGAAGGACUUAGCAAAUAUAUUUGUCUUCUCAUCCUAAUUGCUUGCACUUGAUGAACGCUUUUGGUUUGUGCAAUUAGCUCCAAUUACUAUCAUAUUCUCUGACAGUCUCGAGUAUGCAUUAAAACAAAUGCUCAUUCAUGAGUUUGAAGUGGUUCCUUUUUCCAUCAAGUUAAAAAGAAAAUAAAUUUUGACGAGAGAUAUGAAAUGAUGCAAGCUUAGCUUAGACGGCAUCUCUACUAUUUUGAUUGUGUUCUACUUUGAUUCAAUUCAGGGUACAACUUUGUAUUAGCAGGAUUGCUUGCUUCCCUUAAAUUAAUCGGAGGAACCUUAGCUGAUCACACAUUCUCCGUAAGUGAAAUUCUUACUUCUAUAUUUUGGUUAUUGAAGGCUGGAACUGGUAUAGCAGAGUUGAUAGCUUUUGAGAUUUCUAAGCAGGUAUAACUUGGUUUUAAUACUUAAUUGUUUAUUUCUAAACGUAUUCUUUUAUCUCAAGUAGUUAAAUUAAAUUCUAUCAUUUUGGCCACACAAAAGCCCCGGUCGAAGAGACUUGCAAGAAGAUUUGGAUUGUGGACUCCAAGCUUUUAUUAUCCCCUUUCUUCGUUAAGGCUUUUGUGCUGAAUCCGGUUUAGUAAGCAACUCGGUUCGGUUUGUUUUGAAUUCAUGCGUAGCUUCUGGGCUUAUUCUUGGUUCUGCACUGCUGUCUAAUUGUUGCAGGCAGAGGGAAUUUUUGUGAGUCCGUAUGGUCUGAGGAAAGCCCUGGAGAAUGUAACUGUUCCAAACGGCAAUUCAUCGGAGGAUAAAUUAUCACUGGGCCAAGUUAACAAGUUCGAUAUUUUCUCUGUCCAACUCUUCAAAGAAUUUUGUAGUAAAUGGUAAUAUUAUAAGAUUUGUUAUAGACUUGAAUUAAGAAGCUUGAUGUCAAACACAGUAGAUACAAAGAACAGAUCAAGAAAGCAAGGUAUGGUCCUACUCUCGAAGCUAUUAAAUCUAGAGCCAUGCGAUUUCUUAAACAAAAGAGAAUGUGAGUCGAUUGUUCUUUGUUUUCUUAGUUUAUUUGUCGUUGUUGAGUUGUCACAUUGUACACACACUAACAAUACUUUGAGUUUUUACUUUAAAUACGCUCAACUACUUUAUCAUGCAGCUAAUAAUCUUCCUUAGCUCAAUACAUUAUACAUGAAUUGAAUAUUAUAUUGUUGUUUUAAUAUACCAAUACACUAUGCUUUGAUCAGGUAUGAAGGUCAACGCGACAUGUUGUACAAUCAGACAUUUAACUUCGAUCAAGUUUAAUUUGCUGCUGGGGGAAUUAAAGAUGCUCAACAAACUAUAAGGUUUCCACCAAGUCGAAGACAUUUAGGUCUCCGCAACGCAUGGCACACCGCAGAAUUAAGAAACUGUUGUCUUCUAAAUACUGGAAUGUCGCUCCAAAAUUGAAGUUAUGCCAACUGUCUAGAUCUGGUGCUGGCUGAAUCAGAUAUUAAACCAUGUUGCAUGACUGCUAAACCGAAAUAUUACGACUGUUGUACCGAAGGAUGCAGGGACUGAACUGAAUCAUACAGCUGCUGUACUUAAAGAUUUUCUGUAGAUUGAUUAAACACUUGAUUUCAAUGUUGAUGUUUCAACCUCUCUUCCCUUGAUGACUUAAAUUUCAGGAAAGAAGAAUUGUUAUGAAUUUUGGAUCAAUUGCUAAGAGACAAGGAUGAUAUAAUUAUGGCUACACCUUAUACAGGUUCUAUUUUGGAUCAAUUACUAAAAGACAAGGAUGAUUUUAGUUGUGUUUUCCUUAUCCAUAUUGAAUUAUAUAUCAAUUGCUAUAUCGAUAUUAUCUUUUGGGGCCUAUAUCAAGCUUAAAAGAUGUUGAUUAUAUACAGCUAACACGAAGAAUAUUGAAAGUAUUGCAAGAAUGGUUAGUGGAAAAGUAUCUUGAUUUUGUGGAAUCAAUAUGGCCACAUUAUUUUCGGAUGAUCAGAUUUUUGAUGUCGUCUAAUCUUAUUCGAGUUUGAAUGCAUUCUUAAAGGUACUGUUCAGGAGAGUUUAAGGGAGUUUGAUUGGAGGCGGUAUUCUAUAGCAUAGAAAUUUUCCAUUGAGAUGUAGUCAAUCACAUUUUAUCCUCUGGGGUUUGAGCAAGUUAAUGAUAAUGAGGAAACAAGUUCCUAAUUCAUGUUAUCUUGAAUUGAUUUUAUUCUUAGAUUAGGUUGGAAUUGAUUUUAUCAUUGAAUGGUUGCUUAGUUUUCAAGGUUUUAUAUAAGAUUGACAGUCGACUCAUACAACUGAGUUUUAAAAAAUCAAUUGACACAAUGCAGGAUGCAUUGUAGUGCUUUCAACAAUGGAAACAUUAUCGUAAAAGUCUUUGGUCAGUCGGUGCGGUUAAGAAAGCAGUGAUACAUUGACGUUUAAAGAGAAAAAGCUUUCAUGCAAGAAGAUUACAUGAGGAUGAAGUUGGCACCCAAGCAAGCAAAGGUAAUAUCUAAUUUUAUUCCAUCACUCAUAGAAAUAGGAGGAUUUGCUUUUGCACCACAUGUGCAUAUGGACAAGGAUUUUCCUUUGUAAUGUGAUAUUGUGAUGCGAUAUUGUGAUUUAUGAUGUAGCGUGACUAUAAUGUGACCAUAAUUGAGGUUGCACAGUUGUUAUUCUAUGCAAUAUCGAGAGCUGCGACCUCUGCUUCCAAUGCAUUCAGCAGAUUGGUUUUCACCUGGAACAAUGAAGAGAAAAAUGAAGAGGAUACAAGAUCUACAAGGCAGCAUAGUUCCUUCAAGCUAAGUGGGAUCAAUUCCCAUUAAAUCUAACUUAUGUGUUGGUAACCUCUAGGGGUAUCUGGACUAUGUCAACAGAAAAGCAAAAUUGAUAACAUCAGAGUAAGACUUCUUAAUAGUGUAAGUUCACAGGCAGGCUAAUGUUAGUCUCAAACUUUAUUUCUUUUUACACGAACACCACUUCUCAAAAACAAGGAACAAGAAAACUGCAGACUGCAUAAAUUCUUGAGAUUGAAUUGUGGCAUCGGAUACGCAACAAUCAUCAUCAGCAUCAUCAACAUCUUUAAAGGGUUUGAUGCAUUGGAGGUGUCUGCAGGGAACCGUUACCAUAACUGGAAGCACGCGUACAGCGGCAUUAUUGCAGCAUUGGGGGAUAUUGCGGUACUUUUAAAAGCUUACACAUGGAUCAUUGAGAUUGUAGCUGCACAUUAGAAUCUGAUAUUGAAGCUGCACAUGGAGCUCUAUGUAGCAUAAUUUGUACUCAGCCUAGAAGAAUAUCUGCUAUAUAUGUUUCUGAAAGAGUAGCGGCAUCCAUGAGCUAUUUUGUUAGCAUGCUUUUGGUUUAGAUUUUACAUUGUCAGUGGAGUAUACCUGAUAUAGUGGUGUGAAAAUUUUGAUCUCUUUUAUUUUCUCAUUAUUUGCUCUGUAAUGACUAUUUAUGCUCUACACGCCUGGAUCUGUUGGUUUUUCUCGAAAUUUGUAUGUAAUCAUUUCCUGCUUACUUUGCUGACAUUGUUUUUCAGUUUACGGUAGAACUUUUUAAUAACCACCAUUAUAGCUGCAGCGUGAAUUUUAACAAUAAUCCCCAACAUUGAA
Vicia villosa (hairy vetch) is the source of this 5107-nucleotide long non-coding RNA. RefSeq lists it as uncharacterized. NCBI's taxonomy places the organism in Eukaryota, Viridiplantae, Streptophyta, Magnoliopsida, Fabales, Fabaceae. The transcript has 9 exons. The record is from RefSeq and is a predicted model, not a curated record.